This 344-nucleotide long non-coding RNA is filed under the name Elaeis guineensis (African oil palm). Its description in RNAcentral is "long non-coding RNA (EGUI_LNC035634)". The record is from RNAcentral. Lineage: Eukaryota; Viridiplantae; Streptophyta; Magnoliopsida; Arecales; Arecaceae.
UGCUGGUGCUGUCUAUGGUUGAGGCAAAGCGAACAGCUGCUAAGGCAAAGGAGGUGGCUACUGAGCCCUCGAAGGAGGUCAUCAUGGAGGUGCUCUCCCCUAGAUGAAGUGGUUCAGCCUCCCCUGCCUGAUGAGCCUCUCAAUCUCAUCUCAGAGCUGGAGGCAAUCUUUGAUAUCGUGAUCAUGGUCACGAUGGUAGAAGUAGUACUUAUUUGGGUCGCGACGCUUAGGUUUCAUUCGCAUCUUCGGUGUCUAAGGCAGUUCGAUUCGCACCUCCAUCAAUACCUUCUCUCUGAAAAUAUUUAAAGGCGUAUAAUUAGUAUAACGCCUUGAAGGUGAAGGUG